Molecule: ribosomal RNA, 484 nt
Filed under: uncultured bacterium
Lineage: Bacteria
Description: partial 16S ribosomal RNA
Rfam family: Bacterial small subunit ribosomal RNA
Source: RNAcentral
AAUGAACGCUGGCGGCAGGCCUAACACAUGCAAGUCGAGCGGAAGAAGGGAGCUUGCGCCUGGAUUCAGCGGCGGACGGGUGAGUAAUGCCUAGGAAUCUGCCUGGUAGUGGGGGAUAACGUCCGGAAACGGGCGCUGAUACCGCAUACGUCCUGAUGGUGAAAGUGGGGGAUCUUCGGACCUCACGCUAUCAGAUGAGCCUAGGUCGGUUUAGCUAGUUGGUGGGGUAAAGGCCUACCAAGGCGACGAUCCGUCGCUGGUCUGAGAGGAUGGUAAGUCACCCUGGAGCUGGGACACGGUCCAGACUACUACGGGAGGCAGCAGUGGCGAAUAGUGGACAGUGGGCGAAAGCCUGAUCCAGCCAUGCGGCGUGUGUGAAGAAGGUCUUCGGAUUGUAAAGCACUCUUAGUUGGGAGGAAGGGCAGUAAGUUAAUACCUUGCUGUUUUGACGUUAACAACAGAAGAAGCACCGGCUAACUUCGUG